RNAcentral lists this long non-coding RNA (630 nucleotides) under Cyanistes caeruleus (blue tit). RNAcentral's name for it is "lncRNA (ENSCCEG00000010819.1)". Lineage: Eukaryota; Metazoa; Chordata; Aves; Passeriformes; Paridae. The record is from RNAcentral.
CUGGCAUUUGACUGUAUGCUUAAUGUAUGGAUAAUAGGCAGUUAAGAAGGGCUUGCUAAAAAUGUUAAAGAAGGCAGUAACUACUGGAGGACUAUGUAAUGGGACUAAAAAAGUAUUUUCCUGAGUAAACAACAUGUUUUAGUCUUUGCCAGUCACCUUAUUUUGUGCUUCGAUAACCAAUAUCAGUGUUAUGCUUACUACCUCUGGUACACUCUGUUUAAGAGCCUCAGUCUGAUCACAAGACAAGCCUUAACAAGCAUUAGACCCUGAAGCACAAUUAUAAACAGACUUGCUGGAGGUAAAUUAUUAAGUGUCCCUUGUGACGUCUGAAGGAUGGUGGAGUUCCCUGAGUGCUCAGAUUGGUGAGUGUACACCUGCUACAUAUAAAUGAAAGUACCUGCCCUUUUCUGGGACUUCUCAACAGUCAUAUUGGUCAUGUUAUUAUGAGAAGCUUACUUGAAAAUUGCAUAAAAAGAAGAUCAUGCUUCGCUUGAAGACAGAUCUACUGAACUUCAGAUGCCAAAGAAUGAGGGAUCUGUGAGCAGUCUGUUGGCUUUAAAUGGUUGCCUUAUGAUGACGUCUCAGGAAAAGGAAAAGGAAGCAUGAGAACACUGGUGAGUAACUAAAAAU